UACGUAGGGUGCAAGCGUUAAUCGGAAUUACUGGGCGUAAAGCGUGCGCAGGCGGUUAUGCAAGACAGAGGUGAAAUCCCCGGGCUUAACCUGGGAAUGGCCAUGGAAACUGGCGAACUGGAGUGCGGCAGAGGGGGAUGGAAUUCCGCGUGUAGCAGUGAAAUGCGUAGAUAUGCGGAAGAACACCAGUGGCGAAGGCGGUCAACUGGCCUCAUAUUGACACUCAGACGCGAAGGCAUGGGUAGCGAACGGG
RNAcentral lists this ribosomal RNA (253 nucleotides) under uncultured bacterium. RNAcentral's name for it is "partial 16S ribosomal RNA". It matches the Rfam family "Bacterial small subunit ribosomal RNA", at positions 524 to 776 of the family's 1533-position model. The record is from RNAcentral.